GACGAACGCUGGCGGCGUGCUUAACACAUGCAAGUCGAACGCUGAAGCCCUUUCGGGGGUGGAUGAGUGGCGAACGGGUGAGUAACACGUGGGUAAUCUGCCCUGUACUUCGGGAUAAGCCUUGGAACCGGGGUCUAAUACCGGAUAGGACCUGUCCUCGCAUGGGGGUGGGUGGAAAGUUCCGGCGGUAUGUGAUGAGCCCGCGGCCUAUCGGCUUGUUGGUGGGGUAGUGGCCUACCAAGGCGACGACGGGUGGCCGGCCUGAGAGGGUGACCGGUAAAACUGGGACUGAGAGACGGCCCAGACUCCUACGGGGGGGAGCAGUGGGGAAUCUUGCGCAAUGGGCGAAAGCCUGACGCAGCAACGCCGCGUGGGGGAUGACGGCCUUCGGGUUGUAAACCUCUUUCGACCUCGACGAAGGGGCCCUGUUGUGGGGUUUUGACGGUAGGUGUAGAAGAAGCACCGGCUAACUACGUGCCAGCCGCCGCCGUAA
RNAcentral lists this ribosomal RNA (493 nucleotides) under uncultured bacterium. Its description in RNAcentral is "partial 16S ribosomal RNA". It matches the Rfam family "Bacterial small subunit ribosomal RNA", at positions 28 to 523 of the family's 1533-position model. The record is from RNAcentral.